AACGAACGCUGGCGGCAGGCUUAACACAUGCAAGUCGAACGCAUCCUUCGGGGUGAGUGGCAGACGGGUGAGUAACGCGUGGGAACGUGCCCUUCAGUUCGGGAUAACCCAGGGAAACUUGGGCUAAUACCGGAUACGUGCGAGAGCAGAAAGAUUUAUCGCUGAAGGAUCGGCCCGCGUCUGAUUAGCUAGUUGGUAGGGUAAUGGCCUACCAAGGCGACGAUCAGUAGCUGGCUGAGAGGAUGAUCAGCCACAUUGGGACUGAGACACGGCCCAAACUCCUACGGGAGGCAGCAGGUGGGGAAUAUUGGACAAUGGGCGCAAGCCUGAUCCAGCCAUGCCGCGUGAGUGAUGAAGGCCUUAGGGUUGUAAACCUCUUUCAGCAAGGGAAGAAGCGCAAGUGACGGUACCUGCAGAAG
This 419-nucleotide ribosomal RNA is filed under the name uncultured bacterium. Its description in RNAcentral is "bacterial SSU rRNA". It matches the Rfam family "Bacterial small subunit ribosomal RNA", at positions 29 to 487 of the family's 1533-position model. The record is from RNAcentral.